UCUGUAGGCUGAUGAAGGUGCAUUGAGAAGUGUGCUGGAGGUAUCAGAAGUGCGAAUGCUGACAUGAGUAACGAUAAUGUGGGUGAAAAGCCCACACGCCGGAAGUCCCAGGUUUCCUGCACGACGUUAAUCGGAGCAGGGUGAGUCGGCCCCUAAGGCGAGGCUGAAGAGCGUAGUCGAUGGGAACCAGGUUAAUAUUCCUGGACUUUUUAUAAGUGGUGAAGUGGGGACGAAGAAGGCUAGGUGAGCCAGGCGUUGGUUGUCCUGGUACUUGCAUGUAGGGGGGAAGACUUGGCAAAUCCGGUUUUCCAUAACUCUGAGGUGCGAAGUGGUUCUGACCUUUUGGUACAGAGAAGUCAUUGAUGCCCGGCUUCCAGGAAAAGCUGCUAGCCAUAACUUAUAGAGAACCGUACCGCAAACCGACACAGGUGGACAGGUAGAGAAUACUAAGGCGCUUGAGAGAACUCGGGUGAAGGAACUAGGCAAAAUGGUACCGUAACUUCGGGAGAAGGUACGCCCUUUUGGGUGAGGGCAUUUACUGUCUGAGCUUAAGAGGGCCGCAGAGACCAGGUGGCUGCGACUGUUUAUUAAAAACACAGCACUCUGCAAAUUCGUAAGAAGACGUAUAGGGUGUGACGCCUGCCCGGUGCCGGAAGGUUAAUUGAUGGGGUUAUCUUCGGAGAAGCUCUUGAUCGAAGCCCCGGUAAACGGCGGCCGUAACUAUAACGGUCCUAAGGUAGCGAAAUUCCUUGUCGGGUAAGUUCCGACCUGCACGAAUGGCGUAACGAUGGCCACACUGUCUCCACCCGAGACUCAGUGAAAUUGAAAUCGCUGUGAAGAUGCAGUGUACCCGCGGCUAGACGGAAAGACCCCGUGAACCUUUACUAUAGUUUUGCACUGGACUUUGAUGAUGACUGUGUAGGAUAGGUGGGAGGCUGUGAAGUGAGGACGCUAGUUCUCAUGGAGCCGCCCUUGAAAUACCACCCUGUUGUUAUUGAGGUUCUAACUUGGUCCAGUAAUCCUGGAUGAGGACAGUGUAUGAUGGGUAGUUUGACUGGGGCGGUCUCCUCCCAAAGAGUAACGGAGGAGCACAAAGGUACCCUCGGUACGGUCGGACAUCGUACCAAGAGUGUAAAGGCAAAAGGGUGCUUGACUGCGAGAGUGACGGCUCGAGCAGGAACGAAAGUUGGUCUUAGUGAUCCGGUGGUUCUGAAUGGAAGGGCCAUCGCUCAACGGAUAAAAGGUACUCCGGGGAUAACAGGCUGAUACCGCCCAAGAGUUCAUAUCGACGGCGGUGUUUGGCACCUCGAUGUCGGCUCAUCACAUCCUGGGGCUGAAGCAGGUCCCAAGGGUAUGGCUGUUCGCCAUUUAAAGUGGUACGCGAGCUGGGUUUAGAACGUCGUGAGACAGUUCGGUCCCUAUCUGCCGUGGGCGUAGGAAAAUUGAGAGGAGCUGCUCCUAGUACGAGAGGACCGGAGUGGACGAACCUCUGGUGCACCGGUUGUCACGCCAGUGGCAUGGCCGGGUAGCUAAGUUCGGACGGGAUAACCGCUGAAAGCAUCUAAGCGGGAAGCCUCCCUCAAGAUGAGUUUUCCCAUGAAGCCCGUUGAAGACUACGACGUUGAUAGGCAAGGUGUGGAAGCGCAGUAAUGCGUGAAGCUAACUUGUACUAAUUGGCUGAUUGUCUUGACCAU
RNAcentral lists this ribosomal RNA (1694 nucleotides) under Legionella pneumophila. RNAcentral describes it as "partial 23S ribosomal RNA". It matches the Rfam family "Bacterial large subunit ribosomal RNA", at positions 1240 to 2925 of the family's 2925-position model. The record is from RNAcentral. Lineage: Bacteria; Pseudomonadati; Pseudomonadota; Gammaproteobacteria; Legionellales; Legionellaceae.